This 253-nucleotide ribosomal RNA is filed under the name uncultured bacterium. RNAcentral describes it as "partial 16S ribosomal RNA". It matches the Rfam family "Bacterial small subunit ribosomal RNA", at positions 524 to 776 of the family's 1533-position model. The record is from RNAcentral.
GACGUAGGGUGCGAGCGUUGUCCGGAUUUAUUGGGCGUAAAGGGCUCGUAGGCGGCCAACUAAGUCGGAUGUGAAAUCCCCAGGCUCAACCUGGGAACUGCAUCCGAUACUGGAUGGCUUGAAUCCGGGAGAGGGAUGCAGAAUUCCAGGUGUAGCGGUGAAAUGCGUAGAUAUCUGGAGGAAUACCGGUGGCGAAGGCGGCAUCCUGGACCGGCAUUGACGCUGAGGAGCGAAAGCUAGGGGAGCAAACGGG